This 561-nucleotide ribosomal RNA is filed under the name Trichoderma asperellum. RNAcentral's name for it is "eukaryotic LSU rRNA". The stretch from base 184 to 337 matches the Rfam family "5.8S ribosomal RNA". The record is from RNAcentral. Lineage: Eukaryota; Fungi; Ascomycota; Sordariomycetes; Hypocreales; Hypocreaceae.
CCGAGUUUACAACUCCCAAACCCAAUGUGAACGUUACCAAACUGUUGCCUCGGCGGGGUCACGCCCCGGGUGCGUCGCAGCCCCGGAACCAGGCGCCCGCCGGAGGAACCAACCAAACUCUUUCUGUAGUCCCCUCGCGGACGUAUUUCUUACAGCUCUGAGCAAAAAUUCAAAAUGAAUCAAAACUUUCAACAACGGAUCUCUUGGUUCUGGCAUCGAUGAAGAACGCAGCGAAAUGCGAUAAGUAAUGUGAAUUGCAGAAUUCAGUGAAUCAUCGAAUCUUUGAACGCACAUUGCGCCCGCCAGUAUUCUGGCGGGCAUGCCUGUCCGAGCGUCAUUUCAACCCUCGAACCCCUCCGGGGGAUCGGCGUUGGGGAUCGGGACCCCUCACACGGGUGCCGGCCCCUAAAUACAGUGGCGGUCUCGCCGCAGCCUCUCCUGCGCAGUAGUUUGCACAACUCGCACCGGGAGCGCGGCGCGUCCACGUCCGUAAAACACCCAACUUUCUGAAAUGUUGACCUCGGAUCAGGUAGGAAUACCCGCUGAACUUAAGCAUAUCAA